GCUGUGAAGAUGCAGUGUACCCGCGGCAAGACGGAAAGACCCCGUGAACCUUUACUAUAGCUUGACACUGAACAUUGAGCCUUGAUGUGUAGGAUAGGUGGGAGGCUUUGAAGUGUGGACGCCAGUCUGCAUGGAGCCGACCUUGAAAUACCACCCUUUAAUGUUUGAUGUUCUAACGUGGACCCGUGAUCCGGGUUGCGGACAGUGUCUGGUGGGUAGUUUGACUGGGGCGGUCUCCUCCUAAAGAGUAACGGAGGAGCACGAAGGUUGGCUAAUCCUGGUCGGACAUCAGGAGGUUAGUGCAAUGGCAUAAGCCAGCUUGACUGCGAGCGUGACGGCGCGAGCAGGUGCGAAAGCAGGUCAUAGUGAUCCGGUGGUUCUGAAUGGAAGGGCCAUCGCUCAACGGAUAAAAGGUACUCCGGGGAUAACAGGCUGAUACCGCCCAAGAGUUCAUAUCGACGGCGGUGUUUGGCACCUCGAUGUCGGCUCAUCACAUCCUGGGGCUGAAGUAGGUCCCAAGGGUAUGGCUGUUCGCCAUUUAAAGUGGUACGCGAGCUGGGUUUAGAACGUCGUGAGACAGUUCGGUCCCUAUCUGCCGUGGGCGCUGGAGAACUGAGGGGGGCUGCUCCUAGUACGAGAGGACCGGAGUGGACGCAUCACUGGUGUUCGGGU
Molecule: ribosomal RNA, 672 nt
Filed under: Salmonella enterica subsp. enterica serovar Saintpaul
Lineage: Bacteria; Pseudomonadati; Pseudomonadota; Gammaproteobacteria; Enterobacterales; Enterobacteriaceae
Description: partial 23S ribosomal RNA
Rfam family: Bacterial large subunit ribosomal RNA
Source: RNAcentral